RNAcentral lists this ribosomal RNA (380 nucleotides) under Wickerhamiella pararugosa. RNAcentral's name for it is "partial small subunit ribosomal RNA". It matches the Rfam family "Eukaryotic small subunit ribosomal RNA", at positions 587 to 972 of the family's 1831-position model. RNAcentral also lists the same sequence under 1 other name. The record is from RNAcentral. Lineage: Eukaryota; Fungi; Ascomycota; Dipodascomycetes; Dipodascales; Trichomonascaceae.
AGCUCCAAUAGCGUACAUUAAAGUUGUUGCAGUUAAAAAGCUCGUAGUUGAAUUUUGGGUUUUUCAGCGGGGUCCACCUAACGGUGCGUUACUCUUAUGGCAAGCCUUUUUCCUGGACGCCCUGCUGCGUUUAACCGCGUGGUUGGGAAGGUCAGGACAUUUACUGUGAGGAAAUUAGAGUGUUCAAAGCAGGCGUUAUGCUCGAAUAUAUUAGCAUGGAAUAAUAGAAUAAGACGUAUGGUUUUAUUUUGUUGGUUUCUAGAACCGUCGUAAUGAUUAACAGGAGCAGUCGGGGGCGCUAGUACUCAUCAGUCAGAGGUGAAAUUCUUAAACCUGAUGAAGACUAACUACUGCGAAAGCAUUCGCCAAGGAUGUUUUCA